GACAGCAGCAGGGAAACAAGGGUCGCAGCCAGUCCCAACUCUGGAACAUCAGGUCCAUGACAAAGCAAAGUCAGAUUUUCACAUUGCUAUUUCCAGCUAUGGUAUCACUGGCAAUGGCGAUGGUUAGUGUGGUUUGCAGAGAACAAAAUCUUUGGCAAAGAAUAGUCCUCAACCUGGGAAACAGGCAGAGAACAUCCACCUCCCAGGACACAGGGUCAACACAAGGCCGAGCAGGAAACCUGGAGGGACAAGCUUCCACUUUGUUCCCACAGUUUCUGCUGCUUAGAGAACACAGUCCAGGACGCUGCAUGGAUGUGACUCUUGGUUUUGUUUUUGUUUGAGAUAGAAUUCCAUACUAUAUAGACCAGGCUGAUCAAACAAACUCACCAUCUUCCUGCCUCAACCCUGCAGCUCCCCAUCUCUGGGAUUACAGCUAUAUACCAUGACACCUAUCUCAGACUCCUUGACAAGAUUCAAAUUAAAUAAACAAACAAUCACCAAGCAAG
Molecule: long non-coding RNA, 506 nt
Filed under: Mus caroli (Ryukyu mouse)
Lineage: Eukaryota; Metazoa; Chordata; Mammalia; Rodentia; Muridae
Description: lncRNA (MGP_CAROLIEiJ_G0005839.1)
Source: RNAcentral